RNAcentral lists this ribosomal RNA (1503 nucleotides) under bacterium. Its description in RNAcentral is "partial 16S ribosomal RNA". It matches the Rfam family "Bacterial small subunit ribosomal RNA", at positions 659 to 912 of the family's 1533-position model. The record is from RNAcentral.
GCACGGAACUCAUGGUGGAGGGGUGAAAUCCGUUGAUAUCAUGGGGAACACCAAAGGCGAAGGCAGUGCACUGGUACGUUCCUGACGCUCAAACACGAAAGCCAGGGUAGCGAACGGGAUCGAUCUGGUCCCCUCCGAUGGUGACAUCGGAGUUCAAAGAAUUCGGCUAUAUGCUGGAAUAUCCGAGUAUCUGACACUACUCCGAAAGGAGUUAUAAUGUGUUCAGUGCGGACAAUCAGCAGGGAAGAUUUGUGCGCUUCAUUGAGAAUGUACAUUUGUUUUUUUGAAGGAGGUGCAAUUAUGAACAUGUUUGAAAAGUCGUUACAAACAUUGCAGCAGGAUUGGGAAAAGAUACAUCGACCAAUGUGGCAACAUAUGUGGUCACCUAUGGUGGUAAUGAUUCGCUACUGCGUCGUCUUACCGCUCGUAUUACUUCUCUUCUUCUACCUCGCAAAAGCAACGUCCUGAACAAAUUGGGAACUCCCAGUUGUUCGGGUUCUCAAUGAAGCGCACAAAAACCCUCAGAGACUACACGCCGAAUAUCUCAAAAUUAUGAAUCGGGCUGAAGCAACACUCAUCGGUCUUCUCUUCACAGACGGCUGCCUUUCUCCAAAAGGGAAAAGCGCCUGGAGGUUUUACUUCAGCAACAAAUCGAAAAAACUUGUUGCGAUAUUUCGAGAUUGCAUGAUGCAAUGUUUUGCAUUGCCGUCAUCUCGAGUUCGUCUUGGUAUGACCAAUGACGAGCUCUAUCGCGCGAUAAUUGAUUCGAAAGAUGCUGGAGACGCUCUCACGCGCAAGUUCGGAACGUUCCGGACCCUGCGUUACAAGAACGGUAUUCUUCCGAAAGCUCGUUUGCCUGUGCAAGAACUUUUGCAACAUAAUGUUGCCGAAGAUUUCUUGCGCGCGGCAUUUAGUUCUGACGGAGGAGUGAACCUCUAUGUCGCGCGCCGCAACGGCGCGCGUGGCGGGACGAGAUGGCUCAUCCGCGGUGUUUACAUCGCGUGUGCCCAUCCUGCUCUUCGUCGCGAUUACUGCACAUUGCUUAAAGCGCUCGGUAUCCGAGUGCGCAAUGUCGCAGGAGACGGCAAAGUGAAGAUAGAGACCGAAGAAGAUAUACGAGCUUUCCAAAAGAAAGUCGGAUUUAUCAAAGGCGUGCAUAUAACGCAUACCUCGAAAUUCUGGCCGAAAGUUGAAAAGCAGGACUUACUGAAUCGACUCGUUGAGUCGUAUAAAGUACCGUCCGAUGUAUAUCAGUUGUCACAGUUCGAUUUAGCAAAAUGAGAUAAUGAUAUAGUCCGACCUUUAUAGCGAUAUAAAGAUUCGUUGUGCACCGGGUAAACAAUGAUCUCCGAAAGGAGUAACAGUAUGUAGAUACCCCGGUAGUCCUGGCCCUCAACGUUGCUCGCUCGUUUUACGGAGUAUCGACCCUCUGUGAGACUAAGCUAACGCGGUAAGCGAGCCGCCUGGGUAGUACGAUCGCAAGAUUAAAACUCAAAGGAAUAG